AGAAUGGACAUUCACUGAGAGUUGCAUGUUGUUAUUGUGACCACGCUCCAGCAAAGCAUGCAGCACUGAUUGAAAUAGGUGACCCACAGCACAUCUCCACUGGACCCAGCCGCGAGUUUUCCGACAGUAUUGCGCCAGAUGGCAUCUCGUACCAGACAAGUACGUACAAACCAGUCCAGCAGAAUGAUAGCAA
Ornithodoros turicata is the source of this 193-nucleotide long non-coding RNA. RefSeq lists it as uncharacterized. The transcript has 3 exons. The record is from RefSeq and is a predicted model, not a curated record. NCBI's taxonomy places the organism in Eukaryota, Metazoa, Arthropoda, Arachnida, Ixodida, Argasidae.